CAUUAUUUUUUGAAUAGAACCCCAUGUGUGAAUAUUUAAUUCUCCAUUCCGCCAUUAUUUUAUUCACACAAUUAUUCAACAAUUUUACUCCUUCAGUUUCGCCAUUCCGCAAUUCCCAUAUGUAAAGAUUAUCCGCGUGAUUGGUGAUUCCAACAGUUCAUCUAGAUUGUAUAGUAAAAAUGGAAAAGCUAACAGUGAGAAACAUACUUCAAAUUCUUUUUGUUGAAAUUUCCUUACUCCUCCUAAUCCUAACAGCAAUUUCUGCUUUUUCACCCAAUAUUGUCAAAUCCAUACCUGGGUAUCCGGGCGACCUUCCAUUUUAUCUUGAAACUGGGUAUGUUGGGGUAGGAAAAGAUGAAGAAGUGAAGCUAUUUUACUACUUUAUUAAGUCGGAGAGAGACCCUGAAAGAGACCCGCUUAUGCUGUGGCUCACUGGAGGUCCUGGUUGCUCUGCUUUUUCCGGACUGGUUUUAGAGAUUGGUCCUCUGAUUUUCAAUAAUUCUGCUUGCGAUUGGCACUCGAAAUCACCAACGUUUCAGUUAAAUCCGUCUUCUUGGACAAAGGUAGCUAGCAUUAUAUUUCUGGACUCACCCGUUGGCACAGGCUUCUCUUAUGCUACAAAUCCAGAAGGUUACUACAGUGAUGAUAUUACAUCAUCAAGGCAUAUAUAUCAGUUUUUGACAAAGUGGCUUGCUGACCAUGCUGGAUUCCAUAAUAAUCCGCUUUACAUUGCGGGGGUUUCCUAUUGUGGCAAGAUUGUCCCUGUUGUUGUACAUGAGAUUUUCCAGGGAAACAAAGUUGGAUUUCAGCCUUUUAUGAAUCUCCAGGGAUAUGUUCUUGGAAACCCAUUAACAUGGAAGGAGGAUGAAAAGAGAUACCAUCCACAAUUGAAUUAUGCUCACCGCGUGUCUCUUUUAUCGGAUGAGCUCUAUGAGUCAACCAUAAUAAGCUGCAAUGGAGCUUAUCAGGACGCGGACACGAAUAAUAUUAAUUGCACACAUAAUCUUCAAGCCAUAUCAUAUAACCUGGACCCGUUGUUUGAUGCUCAUGUCUUAAAACCGAAAUGCAUAUCAGAUAAAACAUGGUGCCAGGAGAGCAUAACUGGGCUAUUGGAUAACUGGGCUAAUGACAUACAAGUUCAAGCAGCUCUUCACAUUCAAGAGGUAUAUGAACAACAAGUUGGUGACUUCUUGUCUAAAAUAUUAAUGGGUACCAAACGCUAUUGGAUAAGAUGUAAUAGAACUUUAGCAUAUGAAUACAACGUUCAAAGUACCGUUGGUUACCAUCAAAAUCUGACACAAGAGUUCAUCCACGUGUUGAUUUACAGUGGUGACCAAGACAUGAAGAUAUCAUAUGUGGGAACAUUGGGAUGGAUUAAGAUGCUAAAUAUUUCAAUUUCUGAAGAUUGGAGGCCAUGGUUUGUCAAUGAUCAAGUUGCUGGGUGACUUUCUAAAUACUACUUGAACUCGACCAAAUUUAAAUCAAUAUCUUCCUGGCCUGGCUCUCAACUUUACAGGUGCAUGUGCAGGGAGCGGGACAUACUGCUCCAGAGUAUAAGCGUGCUGAAUGCUUCAACAUGGUGAUGAAAUGGUUAGAAUCGCGUCCACUCUAGUACGAGAGUACCAGGUAAUCAAAGGGAGAUUUUGGCACUUGAAUGGAAGGGAGAAUAGGAAAAAACGAGAAGGCGGUUUGAGUUAUGAAGUGAAGAAAGAGGAACUGUUGGCUUUUCUUGAGAAACUGUAUUCCAGUUGGUGUGUAUGCAUUUAUUUAAUUUUUUUAUGGAAACUCAUGAAAUUGCAGUUGGUGUGCAUGCAUUUAUUUAAUUUUUUUUAUGGAAACUCAGGAAAUUGUAAUUCUGAUAAUUUAUUUUGUAGUUGGGGUAUUUAAGUAAUUAAGGGUUGACAGCAAAGGGUCAGGACUAA
Beta vulgaris subsp. vulgaris (sugar beet) is the source of this 1922-nucleotide RNA transcript. It is a transcript of the gene named serine carboxypeptidase-like 7, with no coding region annotated. The record is from RefSeq and is a predicted model, not a curated record. The transcript is spliced from 14 exons. NCBI's taxonomy places the organism in Eukaryota, Viridiplantae, Streptophyta, Magnoliopsida, Caryophyllales, Amaranthaceae.